UAGGGUUAGGGGAAGGGUUAGCUAUAAGGGUUAAGGUUAGGGUUAGGGGAAGGGUUAGCUAUAAGGGUUAAGGAUAGGGUUAGGGGAAGGGUUAGCUAUAAGGGUUAAGGUUAGGGUUAGGGGAAGGGUUAGCUAUAAGGGUUAGGGUUAGGGGAAGGGUUAGCUAUAAGGGUUAAGGUUAGGGUUAGGGGAAGGGUUAGCUAUAAGGGUUAGGGGAAGGGUUAGCUAUAAGGGUUAAGGUUAGGGUUAGGGGAAGGGUUAGCUAUAAGGGUUAAGGUUAGGGUUAGGGGAAGGGUUAGCUAUAAGGGUUAAGGUUAGGGUUAGGGGAAUGGUUAGCUAUAAGGGUUAAGGUUAGGGGAAGGGUUAGCUAUAAGGGUGAAGGUUAGGGUUAAGGUUAGGGGAAGGGUUAGGGUUAGGGGAAGGUUGGCUAACAUGCUAAGUAAUAAAACAUGUGUAAGUAAGAAAUAAAAUGCUAAAGUUGUCAAUGAUGAGAUUUGAACUCUCAACCUUUGGGUUACUAGACGUUCACAUUAUACGUCCACCCAUCGACCCCGACCAAC
This is a long non-coding RNA of Oncorhynchus keta (chum salmon), 560 nucleotides long. RefSeq lists it as uncharacterized. NCBI's taxonomy places the organism in Eukaryota, Metazoa, Chordata, Actinopteri, Salmoniformes, Salmonidae. The record is from RefSeq and is a predicted model, not a curated record. The transcript is spliced from 3 exons.